GAGCGAACGCUGGCGGCAGGCCUAACACAUGCAAGUCGAACGAACCUUUCGGGGGUAGUGGCGGACGGGUGAGUAACACGUGGGAACGUGCCUUUAGGUUCGGAAUAACUCAGGGAAACUUGUGCUAAUACCGAAUGUGCCCUUCGGGGGAAAGAUUUAUCGCCUUUAGAGCGGCCCGCGUCUGAUUAGCUAGUUGGUUGAGGUAAUGGCUCACCAAGGCGACGAUCAGUAGCUGGUCUGAGAGGAUGAUCAGCCACAUUGGGACUGAGACACGGCCCAAACUCCUACGGGAGGCAGCAGUGGGGAAUCUUGCGCAAUGGGCGAAAGGCUGACGCAGCCAUGCCGCGUGAAUGAUGAAGGUCUUAGGAUUGUAAAAUUCUUUCACCGGGGACGAUAAUGACGGUACCCGGAGAAGAAGCCCCGGCUAACUUCGUG
RNAcentral lists this ribosomal RNA (435 nucleotides) under uncultured bacterium. RNAcentral's name for it is "partial 16S ribosomal RNA". It matches the Rfam family "Bacterial small subunit ribosomal RNA", at positions 27 to 507 of the family's 1533-position model. The record is from RNAcentral.